Molecule: ribosomal RNA, 521 nt
Filed under: uncultured bacterium
Lineage: Bacteria
Description: bacterial SSU rRNA
Rfam family: Archaeal small subunit ribosomal RNA
Source: RNAcentral
AACCUCCGCAAUGUGAGAAAUCGCGACGGGGGGAUCCCAAGUGCCAUUCUUAACGGGAUGGCUUUUCAUUAGUGUAAAGAGCUUUUGGAAUAAGGGCUGGGCAAGACCGGUGCCAGCCGCCGCGGUAACACCGGCAGCUCUAGUGGUAGCAGUUUUUAUUGGGCCUAAAGCGUCCGUAGCCGGUUUAAUAAGUCUCUGGUGAAAUCCUGUAGCUUAACUGUGGGAAUUGCUGGAGAUACUAUUAGACUUGAGACCGGGAGAGGUUAGAGGUACUCCCAGGGUAGAGGUGAAAUUCUGUAAUCCUGGGAGGACCGCCUGUUGCGAAGGCGUCUAACUGGAACGGUUCUGACGGUGAGGGACGAAAGUUAGGGGCGCGAACCGGAUUAGAUACCCGGGUAGUCCUAACUGUAAACGAUGCGGACUUGGUGUUGGGGUGGCUUUGAGCUGUUCCAGUGCCGAAGGGAAGCUGUUAAGUCCGCCGCCUGGGAAGUACGGUCGCAAGACUAAAACUUAAAAGGAUU